This 529-nucleotide ribosomal RNA is filed under the name uncultured bacterium. Its description in RNAcentral is "bacterial SSU rRNA". It matches the Rfam family "Bacterial small subunit ribosomal RNA", at positions 777 to 1304 of the family's 1533-position model. The record is from RNAcentral.
UUAAUAGAUACCCCGUAGUCUAGCAGUAAACGGUGCACGUUUGGUGUGGGCGGGUUACAGACCCCGUCCGUGACCGGGAGCUAACGCGUUAAACGUGCCGCCUGGGAAGUACGGUCACAAGAUUAAAACUCAAAGAAAUUGACGGGGGCCCGCACAAGCGGUGGAGUAUGUGGCUUAAUUCGAUGCAACGCGAAGAACCUUACCUGGCCUUGACAUGCAUCUCUAAGUUAGUGAAAGCUAGCGAGUUGGCAGCAAUGUCAACAAUUUGCACAGGUGCUGCAUGGCUGUCGUCAGCUCGUGUCGUGAGAUGUUGGGUUAAGUCCCGCAACGAGCGCAACCCUGUGUCCUGUUGCCCGCAAGGGAUCUCUGGACAGACUGCCCUGUGAAACGGGGAGGAAGGUGGGGAUGACGUCAAGUCAGUAUGGCCCUUACGGCCAGGGCUGCACACGUACUACAAUGCCCAGAACAGAAUGAACCAAAACCGCGAGGUGGAGGAAAUCGAUAAUCUGGGCUCAGUUCGGAUCGGAGG